GUCAGCACGUCUGUCAUCCUACUCGUCCAGCCUGGGAAGACUGACUGGAACGUCCCGGCUGGCGCCAGCCCCCGAAUCUUCGGGAGCCGGGUCGACUGCGAAUGCGCAGGAAUGCUGGGGCGGGACUUCAAGUCACUCUGCCCCCGGCCCGCGCGACCAAUGAAUAGCGACUGCCCCGGGGCCGGCUAAAUCCUUAGAGGCCGGAGUUAUUAGCCGAGAGGAUAGCCCCGCCCUUGUUUCCUUCAGGCCCUCGCUCCCCGCCUCGCGCCGUCGUCGCCCCGCCUCCUCUCGCCCGCCUUCCCUGCUGCGAGAUUUAUUUAAUCUCCCAACUACCAUGAUGAAGAUAAGUUGGAGUGACUGCUAGAACUGAAUUUUAUUGAUCAGAAGACAGCCCAUUUGAUUUCACUUAUUUUUGUUUUCCCUUCUGCUUUGAGCUUUACUGUAAUGGCUGAAAAACUUGGGAAAUAAAAUGAACAUGCUGUGGUC
This is a non-coding RNA of Puma concolor (puma), 486 nucleotides long. NCBI's taxonomy places the organism in Eukaryota, Metazoa, Chordata, Mammalia, Carnivora, Felidae. The record is from RefSeq and is a predicted model, not a curated record.